UAGGGUUAGGGUUAGGGUUAGGGUUAGGGUUAGGGUUAGGGUUAGGGUUAGGGUUAGGGUUAGGGUUAGGGUUAGGGUUAGGGUUAGGGUUAGGGUUAGGGUUAGGGUUAGGGUUAGGGUUAGGGUUAGGGUUAGGGUUAGGGUUAGGGUUAGGGUUAGGGUUAGGGUUAGGGUUAGGGGUAGGGGUAGGGGUAGGGGUAGGGUUAGGGUUUCGGUUAGGGUUAGGUUUAGGGUUAGGGUAAGCAUUAGUGUUAUUGUUAGGGUUAGGGUUCGGAUUAAGUUUAGGGUUAGGGUUUAGGUUAGGGUUAGGGUUAAGGUUACGGAAAGUUUAGGGUUAUGAUAAAGGUUGGGUUUAGAGGUAAGGUUAGGGUUAGGUUUAGGGUCAGGGUUAAGGUUAGGGUUAGGUUUAGGGUUAGGGUUUAGGGUUAGGGUAAGGGUUAGGUUUUUGCUUGGGGUUAUCUUAAGAUCAGGGUUAGGGUUAGGUUUUUGGUUGGGGUUAGCUUAAGGUUAGGGUUAGGUUUUUGGUUGGGUUAGGUUAAGGUUAGGGUUAGGGUAAGGAUUAUACUUCAGGUUAGGGUUAGUGUUAGGGGUAGGGUUAGUGUUACGGUUAGGGUAAGGGUUAAGAUUUGAAUUAGGGUUAGGGUUAGUGCUCGGGUGUGAGUUCGUAUUAGGGUUAGGGUUACGGUUAGGUUUCGGGUUAGGUGUAGGAUUAGGCUAAGUGUUAGGGUAAUGAUAAGGUUAGGGUUAGGUUUAGGGUUAGACACAUUAGUGUUAUGGUUAGGCACGUUAGGGUUAGGGUUAGGCACGUUAGGGUUAGUGUUAGGGUUAGGUUUAGGCACAUUAGGGUUAGGGUUAGGCUCGUUAGGGUUAGGGUUAGGGUUAGGCACGUUAGGGUUAGGAUUAGGGUUAGGCACGUUAGGGUUAGGGAUAGGCACGUUAGGGUUAGGGUUAGGGUUAGGCACAUUAGGGUUAGGGUUAGGCACUUUAGGGUUAGGGUUAGGGUUAGGCACAUUAGGGUUAGGGUUAGUGUUAGGGUUAGGGUUAGGGUUAGGGUUAGGGUUAGGGUUAGGGUUUGGGUUAGGGUUAGGGUUAGGGUUAGGGUUAGGGUGAGGGUUAGGGUUAGGUUUAGGGUUUGGGUUAGGGUUAGGGUUACGGUAAGGGUUAAGAUUAGGGUUAGGUUUUGGUUUAGGGUUAGGGUUAGUUUUAGGGCUAAGGUUAGGUUUACGGUUAAGGUUAGCGUUAUUGUUAGUUUAGGGUUAGGGUUAGGGUUAGGUUUAGGAUUAGGGAUAAGGUUAGGGUUAGGGUUUAGGGUUAGAGUAAGGGAAAGGGUUAUUGUUAUUUUUAGGUUAGGUUUGGGGUUACUGUUAGGGUUAGGGUAAUUUUUAGGGAUAGGUUUAGGUUUAGGGUUAGUGUUUGUUUUAGAUGCAGGGUUAUUGUAAGGGAUAGCGUAAGGGUUAAGCAAGGGUUAGGGUUUGGGUUCGGUUUAGGGUUAGGUUUAGAUUUAGAAUUAGGGUAAUGGUUAGGGUUCGGAAUAGGGUUAGGGUUAUUGUUAGGUAAGGUUUAGGUUUAAGGUCAGGAUUAGAGUUAGGGUUUGGUUUAGAUUUAGGUUUAGGGUUACGGUUAGGUUUUGGGUUAGGGUUUGGGUUUAGGGUUAGGCUUAGGGUUAGGGUUCGGGUUCAGUUUAGGGUUGGGGUUAGGUUUAGGGUUAGGGUUAGGGUUAGUGUUAGUGUUAGGGUUAGGGUUAGGGAUAGGGAUAGAAAUAGGGAUAGGUUUUGGGUUUGGUUAGGGUUAGGAUUAAGGUUAGGGUUAGGUUUAGGGUUUGAUUUAGGAUUAAGGUUAUCGUUAUGGCUUGAGUUAGGUUUAGGGUUUGGGUUAUUGUUAGAUUUAGGGUUAGGGUAACGGUUAAGUUAGGGUUAUGUUUAGGUUUUCUUUUAGGGUUAGGGGUACAGUCAGGGUUUGGAUUAGGGCUAAAGUAAGGGUUAGGUUUCUGGUAACGGUUAAGUUAUGGUUAGGGUUAGUGUUAGGGUUAAAUUAGGGCUAGGGUUAGAUUUUGUGUAAGGGUUAGGUUUACGGUUUUGGUUAAGAUUAGGGUUAAACAAAGGGUUAGGUUUAGGGUAACGGUUAAGUUAAGGUUAGCGUUAGGUUUUUUGGUAGUUUUAGGGUUACGGUUAGGCUUCAUGCUUAGGUUUAGGGUAAUGUUUAAGGUUAGUCUUAGUUUUAGUGUUACGGUUAGAAUUAGGGGUGCGUAUAGUGUUAAGAUUAGGUUUAAGUUAAGGGUUAGGUUUAGUUUUAGGGUUAGAGUUAGAGUUAAGUUAGGGUUAGGGUUAGGUUUGGGUUUUGUGUUUGGUUUUGGGUUAGGGUUGGGAUUAGGGUUUGGGUUAGGGUUAACUGUAGGAUUAGGGUUAGGGUUUGUUUUAUAUUUAAUGUUUCUGUUAGGUUAAGGGUUAAGUUAGUGUUUGGUUUAGGGUUAGGUUUAGAUUUAGGUUUUGUGUUGAGUUAGGGUUAGGGUUAGAGUUAGGGUUAGUGUUUGCGUUAGGAUUAAGGUUAGGGUUUUGUUUAGGGUUAGGGUUAAGAUCAGGUUUCGGGUUAGUUUUAGGAUUAAGUUUAGGUUAGGGUUUGGGUUAUGUUUGGGGUUAGUGUUAUGGUUAGGACUAUGGUUAUUGCAAGGGUUAAGAUAGGGUUUGUAUUAAGGUUUUUUUUUCGGUUAUUGUUGAGUUAUGCUUAGGGUUAGGGUUAGUGUUAUGUUAGGGUUAGGGUUAUAGGCCUAUUUUGGGUUAUGUAGAACAGAAUAAAAUUGAUCUAGCAGGUCUAGUCCAACUAGAUUAUAGAAAAUGGGGAAAUUGUAGAGUGUGAACUGGAGCCUGCAGUUACAGUGAGGAGGGCCUUUCAGCUAGAAACAGGAAAGUAGCUUCACAAAGUAGAAAUAAGAGGAAAUAGAGUUUGUUUCGGGAGAGGGUGUUAGGAAAAAGAAAAGAUUCCAAGCACUUUCAGACACUAGGUGUGGAAUAACAAGGAGAACGAAGUCCAUAAAGACAAUGUCUGGAGAGCAGCUGGAAAACAUUUUGCAGAGAGGUGAUUAGAUGCCUACAGGGCAAGCUGAAACAGAUUCAGGGGAUGCCCCCACUUUGGGUUCAGAAGUUUGCAGCGAGGAAGACUAUGAGCCUUCGCGAGGAAGAGGCGAGGCGGUGUGAGGCCAGGGUGAGCCGAGGCCAGGCAAGACAAGGCCAGGAAAUGCCAG
Gallus gallus (chicken) is the source of this 3238-nucleotide long non-coding RNA. The record is from Ensembl. Lineage: Eukaryota; Metazoa; Chordata; Aves; Galliformes; Phasianidae.